GUUUAGUUUUCUCUCUGCAAGGAGCAACAGCAAGAGCUAACACAUAAAUGACUCUAACUUGACUUAGAAGACAAGGCCAUUGGGAGUUUCAAGAAGAACCAUAUGGAAUGGUAAUAAUGUCCAACCACUAGACACUAACUCAACACUGUGGGAACCAUCAGCAGCAGGUACAGUGAAGGACAGCAGUCAUCAUGAUCGACCUGAGCUUCCUGUCAGAGGAGGAGCAGGAGACCGUUCUGUCUGUGUUGAAAAGAGAUGCUGAACUGAAGAAGACUGAGGAGCAGCGUGUCCAGAAUUUGCAGAAGACUGUGAGUGACAAAACCCAGCUGAGGUACCUGACUGGAGAAUGGUUCUAUGAGACCAAGCAACUUCGCCAUCCGGAUCGCAUCCAUGGCUCUGACAUCAUCAGGGCGUCUCUGAGGCACACACAUAAACCACUAACUCUAUUGGAACUGUCACAGAUAUUACCUGAGAAGUCCAGUUUUGUCUGCAGUGAAAAUAAAGAAGUAUUUGUCCCACCUGUACUCUGUGGACUCCUUCAGGAAUCUCACGUGCAGCUUAACAUUGAGGGGGACCAUAACCUGAACAAUUAUAAAUCCCAACAAGAUUCUGCAAAACCAGGUUUACAGUCACCUACAAAGAGAAAAAAUCCAUUCAACACUGAACUUGCUUUCAAUGAAAAGGAUGAUGAGUUGCUGGAUGGAACAGUAAAUCAAGGCCAGACACCAAAUGAGAGUAAGUUGUUAUACAAACAUCAUGUUGUGCUACUUUAAAUAUGUCCGUGUAGCAUGAGUAUAAACACAUCUCUACGCUGUGAUCUAACCAUGUAUCAUUUAUUUGUUAUGUUUUGAAUUGAGUGGACUUGACGGACAGAUUGUGUGAACAGUUAUUACAAACCAAUGUAAGUCUGGUUCUAGAAGUCUGUUUCCUGCUUCAGCCUUUGAUGUGAGCAGAA
Long non-coding RNA from Acanthochromis polyacanthus (spiny chromis), 955 nucleotides. RefSeq lists it as uncharacterized. Lineage: Eukaryota; Metazoa; Chordata; Actinopteri; Pomacentridae. The record is from RefSeq and is a predicted model, not a curated record. The transcript has 6 exons.